RNAcentral lists this ribosomal RNA (756 nucleotides) under uncultured bacterium. RNAcentral's name for it is "bacterial SSU rRNA". It matches the Rfam family "Bacterial small subunit ribosomal RNA", at positions 8 to 796 of the family's 1533-position model. The record is from RNAcentral.
AGAGUUUGAUCAUGGCUCAGAAUCAACGCUGGCGGCGUGCCUAACACAUGCAAGUCGAACGAGAAAGGGUAGCAAUACCUGAGUAAAGUGGCGCACGGGUGAGUAACACGUGACUAACCUACCCUGGAGUGGGGGAUAACUGAGGGAAACCUUAGCUAAUACCGCAUAACACCUACGGGUCAAAGGAGCAAUUCGCUUCAGGAGGGGGUCGCGGCCGAUUAGUUAGUUGGCGGGGUAAUGGCCCACCAAGACUGUGAUCGGUAUCCGGCCUGAGAGGGCGCACGGACACACUGGAACUGAAACACGGUCCAGACUCCUACGGGAGGCAGCAGUGGGGAAUUUUGCGCAAUGGGGGAAACCCUGACGCAGCAACGCCGCGUGGAGGAUGAAGUACUUCGGUACGUAAACUCCUUUCGAUCGGGACGAUUAUGACGGUACCGGAAGAAGAAGCCCCGGCUAACUUCGUGCCAGCAGCCGCGGUAAUACGAGGGGGGCAAGCGUUGUUCGGAAUUAUUGGGCGUAAAGGGUGCGUAGGCGGUUUUGUAAGUCUUGUGUGAAAUCUUCAGGCUCAACUUGAAGACUGCACGAGAAACUGCAGGGCUUGAGUGUGGGAGAGGUGAGUGGAAUUCCUGGUGUAGCGGUGAAAUGCGUAGAUAUCAGGAGGAACACCUGUGGCGAAAGCGGCUCACUGGACCACAACUGACGCUGAUGCACGAAAGCUAGGGGAGCAAACAGGAUUAGAUACCCUAGUAGUCC